RNAcentral lists this ribosomal RNA (773 nucleotides) under Streptomyces griseorubens. RNAcentral's name for it is "bacterial SSU rRNA". It matches the Rfam family "Bacterial small subunit ribosomal RNA", at positions 65 to 847 of the family's 1533-position model. The record is from RNAcentral. Lineage: Bacteria; Bacillati; Actinomycetota; Actinomycetes; Kitasatosporales; Streptomycetaceae.
AACAAUGGAUACCUCGUAAGGGAGGGGAUUAGUGGCGAACGGGUGAGUAACACGUGGGCAAUCUGCCCUGCACUCUGGGACAAGCCCUGGAAACGGGGUCUAAUACCGGAUACUGACCCGCUUGGGCAUCCAAGCGGUUCGAAAGCUCCGGCGGUGCAGGAUGACCCCGCGGCCUAUCAGCUUGUUGGUGAGGUAAUGGCUCACCAAGGCGACGACGGGUAGCCGGCCUGAGAGGGCGACCGGCCACACUGGGACUGAGACACGGCCCACACUCCUACGGGAGGCAGCAGUGGGGAAUAUUGCACAGUGGGCGAAAGCCUGAUGCAGCGACGCCGCGUGAGGGAUGACGGCCUUCGGGUUGUAAACCUCUUUCAGCAGGGAAGAAGCGAAAGUGACGGUACCUGCAAAAGAAGCGCCGGCUAACUACGUGCCAGCAGCCGCGGUAAUACGUAGGGCGCGAGCGUUGUCCGGAAUUAUUGGGCGUAAAGAGCUCGUAGGCGGCUUGUCACGUCGGUUGUGAAAGCCCGGGGCUUAACCCCGGGUCUGCAGUCGAUACGGGCAGGCUAGAGUUCGGUAGGGGAGAUCGGAAUUCCUGGUGUAGCGGUGAAAUGCGCAUAUAUCAGGAGGAACACCGGUGGAGAAGGCGGAUCUCUGGGCCGAUACUGACGCUGAGGAGCGAAAGCGUGGAGAGCGAACAAGAUUAUAUACCCUGGUAGUCCACGCCGUAAACGGUGGGCACUAGGUGUGGGGCGACAUUCCACGUCGUCCGUGCC